GACGAACGCUGGCGGCGUGCCUAACACAUGCAAGUCGAGCGAACAGACGAGUUGCUUGCUCCUCUGAUGUUAGCGGCGGACGGGUGAGUAACACGUGGAUAACCUACCUAUAAGACUGGGAUAACUUAGGGAAACCGGAGCUAAUACCGGAUAAUAUAUUGAACCGCAUGGUUCAAUAGUGUAAGACGGUUUUGCUGUCACUUAUAGAUGGACCCGCGCCGCAUUAGCUAGUUGGGAAGGUAACGGCUUACCAAGGCGACGAUGCGUAGCCGACCUGAGAGGGUGAUCGGCAACGCGGGAACUGAGACACGGUCCAGGCUCCUACGGGAGGCAGGAGUAGGGAAUCUGCCGCAAGGGGCGAAAGCCUGACGGAGCGACGCCGCGUGAGUGAUGAAGGUCUUCGGAUCGUAAACCUCUGUUGUUUGGGAAGAACAAAUGUGUAAGUAACUAUGCUCGUCUUGACGGUACCUAAUCAGAAAGCCACGGCUAACUACGU
This 496-nucleotide ribosomal RNA is filed under the name uncultured bacterium. Its description in RNAcentral is "partial 16S ribosomal RNA". It matches the Rfam family "Bacterial small subunit ribosomal RNA", at positions 28 to 506 of the family's 1533-position model. The record is from RNAcentral.